UACGUAGGGUGCAAGCGUUGUCCGGAAUUAUUGGGCGUAAAGAGCUCGUAGGCGGUCUGUUACGUCGGCUGUGAAAACCUGGGGCUCAACCCCGGGCCUGCAGCCGAUACGGGCAGACUAGAAUUCGGUAGGGGAGACUGGAAUUCCUGGUGUAGCGGUGAAAUGCGCAGAUAUCAGGAGGAACACCGGUGGCGAAGGCGGGUCUCUGGGCCGAUAUUGACGCUGAGGAGCGAAAGCGUGGGGGAGCGAACAGG
RNAcentral lists this ribosomal RNA (254 nucleotides) under uncultured bacterium. RNAcentral describes it as "partial 16S ribosomal RNA". It matches the Rfam family "Bacterial small subunit ribosomal RNA", at positions 524 to 776 of the family's 1533-position model. The record is from RNAcentral.